UUAGGUGAACCUGCGGAAGGAUCAUUAUCAUUCGUGAUAGCAACCUCUGUGGCUCGAGGCAGGCUGCUCGUUCAGUCCUGUCAGGGCGCACAAGGCGGGUGCAGCGGCGGCCGUUUACGCGGUAAGGUUCUCACGAACCUGCACGCUCUGCAUGUCUGAAUCCUUAUCUCUAUACGUACCUCUUGUUCUCCUUCGGUGGGGUAACCUGCCGUCGGAAUCGACACAACAACCUUUUUGCAUCUAGCAUUACCUGUUCUGAUACAAACAAUCGUUUACAACUUUCAACAAUGGAUCUCUUGGCUCUGGCAUCGAUGAAGAACGCAGCGAAAUGCGAUAAGUAGUGUGAAUUGCAGAAUUCAGUGAAUCAUCGAAUCUUUGAACGCACAUUGCGCCCCUUGGUAUUCCAUGGGGCAUGCCUGUUCGAGCGUCAUCUACACCCUCAAGCUUUGCUUGGUGUUGGGCGUCUGUCCUCGCCUCCGCGCGUGGACUCGCCCCAAAUUCAUUGGCAGCGGUGUCUUUUUGCCCCAGUCUCGCGCAGCACAUUGCGCUUGCAGAACUGGUGGCGGCCCGCGAUCCAACAAGCUCCUUUCACCGUCUUUGACCUCGGAUCAGGUAGGGAUACCCGCUGAACUUAAGCAUAUCAAUAAGCGGAGGA
RNAcentral lists this ribosomal RNA (655 nucleotides) under uncultured Pleosporales. RNAcentral's name for it is "eukaryotic LSU rRNA". The stretch from base 277 to 430 matches the Rfam family "5.8S ribosomal RNA". Lineage: Eukaryota; Fungi; Ascomycota; Dothideomycetes; Pleosporales. The record is from RNAcentral.